UGAAGAACAUAAAGCGGUGAA
Molecule: unclassified non-coding RNA, 21 nt
Filed under: Arabidopsis thaliana (thale cress)
Lineage: Eukaryota; Viridiplantae; Streptophyta; Magnoliopsida; Brassicales; Brassicaceae
Source: RNAcentral